RNAcentral lists this transfer RNA (71 nucleotides) under Loxodonta africana (African savanna elephant). It matches the Rfam family "tRNA". From Rfam's summary of the family: Transfer RNA (tRNA) molecules are approximately 80 nucleotides in length. Their secondary structure includes four short double-helical elements and three loops (D, anti-codon, and T loops). Lineage: Eukaryota; Metazoa; Chordata; Mammalia; Proboscidea; Elephantidae. The record is from Rfam by way of RNAcentral.
GCAGUGAUGGUUCAGUGCUAGAAUGCUUGCCUUCCAUGCAGGAGAACUGGGUUCAAUUCCCGGCCAAGGCA